CCUUUUCUCUUCUCUUCUUCUUCUUCUUCUUCUUCUUCUUCCCCUUCACCGUCAAGCUUCUUCUCUCCCACUCUUUCUCCACACUUUGGGUGGAACGUGUACGAGAUGGGAAUGGGACGAAAGAUAGAUGCAGAGCCAGGAAGAUGUAGAAGAACUGAUGGCAAGAAAUGGAGAUGCUCCAAAGAAGCUUUUCCUGACUCCAAGUACUGUGAGAGGCAUAUGCACAGAGGCAAGAACCGUUCAUCCUCAAGAAAGCCUCUUCCACUUACUCCUCAACUCACGCCAAAUCUCUUUCUCGAGUCUUCUCUCUCUUCUUCCAGGGUAAGUAGAAGAAGAAGAAGUGGAUACAUGGAUGAUUUCUUCU
Non-coding RNA from Camelina sativa (false flax), 364 nucleotides. The record is from RefSeq and is a predicted model, not a curated record. Lineage: Eukaryota; Viridiplantae; Streptophyta; Magnoliopsida; Brassicales; Brassicaceae.